This 501-nucleotide long non-coding RNA is filed under the name Pan troglodytes (chimpanzee). Its description in RNAcentral is "lincRNA". The record is from RNAcentral. Lineage: Eukaryota; Metazoa; Chordata; Mammalia; Primates; Hominidae.
AUCUGCUUUCUUUCUGUUCCAGAGCAGCGUUCGGACCCGUUGGAUCGUGAAUCCCACGUAAGCAGCGUUCGGACCCGUUGGAUCGUGAAUCCCACGUAAGGUACCUGCCCUCAGAAGAUUUGAACUUUCUACUUGGACACCUAACACCCACAGUCCUCCAGAAAACACAAGGACAAACCCUACUGUGAAGCAGUGGAGACUGGAGUCCUGCAUUUGAUGAACUUUCUUUUUAUGUGUUGGAUUCUGAUUUUAUAUUCAUUUCCAUUCAUGUGGACUCUGAAGAGUUAAACUCACCAAGGACACUUGAAGAAGUCACGUCCAGGGAUCACUGUCAUCACAAAUGGAGAAAAGGCCAAAGUCUUUCCAUGCUGCCUCACCAGAAAAGGACUCAGUUGAGAUAUUUUACAGCUGAGAAGGAAAUUAUGCAGCCUGUAGGAUAAAUUCCUCUCCUGGCAGAUUGAGUGGAUGUAGCACCAGAAGCUCCCAGAAUAAUCAGAACUU